GCUAAGCACCAUGUCAUCUUGAACACACCCGAUCCCAUAUGAUGUUGGAAGCUAAAUCAGAGUCAGGCCUGGACUGGAAAACCACCAGGAAUACACAGAAAUCUUUAGGC
This 110-nucleotide ribosomal RNA is filed under the name Pogona vitticeps (central bearded dragon). The record is from RNAcentral. Lineage: Eukaryota; Metazoa; Chordata; Lepidosauria; Squamata; Agamidae.